Molecule: ribosomal RNA, 497 nt
Filed under: uncultured bacterium
Lineage: Bacteria
Description: partial 16S ribosomal RNA
Rfam family: Bacterial small subunit ribosomal RNA
Source: RNAcentral
GACGAACGCUGGCGGCGUGCCUAAUACAUGCAAGUCGAACGCUGAAGAGAGGAGCUUACUCUUCUUGGAUGAGUUGCGAACGGGUGAGUAACGCGUAGGUAACCUGCCUUGUAGCGGGGGAUAACUAUUGGAAACGAUAGCUAAUACCGCAUAACAAUGGAUGACACAUGUCAUUUAUUUGAAAGGGGCAAUUGCUCCACUACAAGAUGGACCUGCGUUGUAUUAGCUAGUAGGUGAGGUAAUGGCUCACCUAGGCGACGAUACAUAGCCGACCUGAGAGGGUGAUCGGCCACACUGGGACUGAGACACGGCCCAGACUCCUACGGGAGGCAGCAGUAGGGAAUCUUCGGCAAUGGGGGCAAACCUGACCGAGCAACGCCGCGGGAGGGAAGAAGGGUGUCGGAUCGGAAAGCUCUGUUGUAAGUCAAGAACGGGUGUGAGAGUGGAAAGUUCACACUGUGACGGUAGCUUACCAGAAAGGGACGGCUAACUACGUG